ACGGGGUGCAGCAGGCGCGAAAACUUCGCAAUGUGGGAAACCACGACGAGGGGAAUCCAAGUGCUUGCACAAUGUGUAGGCUGUUUCCAUGCCUAAAAAGCAUGGAGAGUAAGGGCUGGGUAAGACGGGUGCCAGCCGCCGCGGUAAUACCCGCAGCCCGAGUGGUGGUCGUUAUUAUUGGGCCUAAAACGUCCGUAGCCGGCCCGGUAAAUUCGUGGGGAAAUCGGUCAGCUUAACUGACCGAAGUCCGCGGAGACUGCCGGGCUUGGGACUGGGUGAGGUCAGAGGUACUUCAGGGGUAGGGGUAAAAUCCUGUAAUCCUUGAAGGACCACCAGUGGCGAAGGCGUCUGACUAGAACGGAUCCGACGGUAAGGGACGAAGCCCUGGGGCACAAACGGGAUUAGAUACCCCGGUAGUCCAGGGUGUAAACGCUGUGGGCUUGGUGUUGGGAGUCCCACGAGGGCGCCCAGUGCCGGAGAGAAGUUGUUAAGCCUACUGCCUGGG
This 505-nucleotide ribosomal RNA is filed under the name uncultured archaeon. RNAcentral's name for it is "bacterial SSU rRNA". It matches the Rfam family "Archaeal small subunit ribosomal RNA", at positions 325 to 832 of the family's 1478-position model. The record is from RNAcentral.